UAUUAUAUAAAUCUAACUCGUAUUUCCUAACUUUAUAUGUGUGGCUAGCUACUCUAGGGAUAACAGCGCAAUUUCUCCCGAAGAUGGUAUUGGAGGGGAAGAUUGCGACCUCGAUGUUGGCUUUAGAUAUCCUAGAGGCGUAGAAGCUUCUAAUGGUGGCUGUUCGCCCUUUAAAAUCUA
This 180-nucleotide ribosomal RNA is filed under the name Mytilus trossulus (common blue mussel). Its description in RNAcentral is "16S rRNA". The stretch from base 59 to 180 matches the Rfam family "Bacterial large subunit ribosomal RNA", at positions 2473 to 2597 of the family's 2925-position model. Lineage: Eukaryota; Metazoa; Mollusca; Bivalvia; Mytilida; Mytilidae. The record is from RNAcentral.